AAUGAACGCUGGCGGCAGGCCUAACACAUGCAAGUCGAGCGCUUUCCUUCGGGAAGGAGCGGCGGACGGGUUAGUAACGCGUGGGAAUAUACCCUUCACUAUGGAAUAGCCUUUGGAAGCGAAGAGUAAUACCAUAUACGCCCUUCGGGGGAAAGAUUUAUCGGUGAAGGAUUAGCCCGCGUAAGAUUAGAUAGUUGGUGGGGUAAUGGCCUACCAAGUCUACGAUCUUUAGCUGGUUUGAGAGGAUGAUCGGCAACACUGGGACUGAGACACGGCCCAG
This 280-nucleotide ribosomal RNA is filed under the name uncultured bacterium. RNAcentral's name for it is "partial 16S ribosomal RNA". It matches the Rfam family "Bacterial small subunit ribosomal RNA", at positions 29 to 334 of the family's 1533-position model. The record is from RNAcentral.